UCCUGGCAGCCUCUGCAGGCCCAAAUUCUC
RNAcentral lists this non-coding RNA (30 nucleotides) under Homo sapiens (human). The record is from RNAcentral. Lineage: Eukaryota; Metazoa; Chordata; Mammalia; Primates; Hominidae.